Small nucleolar RNA from Melanaphis sacchari, 221 nucleotides. RefSeq annotates it as small nucleolar RNA U3. NCBI's taxonomy places the organism in Eukaryota, Metazoa, Arthropoda, Insecta, Hemiptera, Aphididae. The transcript has a single exon. The record is from RefSeq and is a predicted model, not a curated record.
AAGAUCAUACUUCACAGGAUCAUUUCUGUAAUGUGCAUCGUUCCCUUCAGGUGCAAAUGUGGAGUCGUCAUAACUCAUCAGCCACGAUGAAAAGACUAGUCCAGUAGUCCACAUAUUUCAGCGUGAAAUUGAUAAUUACCCGUCGUUUUGUGAACAUACGAGAAUCUUGCAACGACGAUCGUUUAUGGUUUGCCGGAUAGUAAGUGGAUAUUCUGAGUGGC